This 692-nucleotide long non-coding RNA is filed under the name Hordeum vulgare. RNAcentral's name for it is "long non-coding RNA (HVUL_LNC017147)". The record is from RNAcentral. Lineage: Eukaryota; Viridiplantae; Streptophyta; Magnoliopsida; Poales; Poaceae.
UUCAAUCCUAGGGUUCCACCAAGAGAGAGAGAAUUUCUAAAAAAACAAGAGAGAGAGAAGGGAAAAGGAUCGGGUGUCAGUUAUGCACCGCUGCCUGCCGUGCGCCGACCUCCACUCUCUCGCCGUCGCAACCGCCGUCGGAUGCCUCGAAUGAGGAUCCAUUGGUGCUUGAGCAGAGGCGACCAAAUAAGCAGCUCCCCCUUUGCCCUUUGGAGCUGCACUCCCCAAUCGAAGCAGCUCUUUUGGGAGCGGCUCCAAUCCGAGCUGCAACCGGCAAUCCUUUCCGGAUUAGAAUCAGAAGCAGGCCCAAUUUCGAAUUCAGUCUCCGGUUUUCCAUUGGUGGCGGGAACCUAGCAGCUACUACUACUUAUUACUCUCUCUGUCUCAAAAUAACUGUCUCAACUGAGGGAGUAUAUAUUUAUCCGGCCAGUCUUAAGAGGAGACGAGCAGCUCUCUUCCCAGGCGACCGGCUGCCAGAUCGAGCGGCCUCGGCAAAUCCUCCUACUCUCAACAACAUGCUGGUGAGUUCGUCCCCCUCAUCCUUUUUCCCUCCUUGUACAAUCCUCUUAUCUUAUUACAACAUCACCGCAGAAAAGUAAUCAAGGAAUAAUAGAAACUUAGGAACCAUAAUCAGAAUUCGUGGCCAUAAUCAGAGUUGGUGGCGAAAUCAAAGUUGCGGCAGUCUCUUGGAA